This 784-nucleotide ribosomal RNA is filed under the name Saccharomyces cerevisiae (brewer's yeast). RNAcentral describes it as "eukaryotic LSU rRNA". The stretch from base 363 to 516 matches the Rfam family "5.8S ribosomal RNA". Lineage: Eukaryota; Fungi; Ascomycota; Saccharomycetes; Saccharomycetales; Saccharomycetaceae. The record is from RNAcentral.
GUGCAGCAGAUAUAUUUUGAAAAUGGAUUUUUUUGUUUUGGCAAGAGCAUGAGAGCUUUUACUGGGCAAGAAGACAAGAGAUGGAGAGUCCAGCCGGGCCUGCGCUUAAGUGCGCGGUCUUGCUAGGCUUGUAAGUUUCUUUCUUGCUAUUCCAAACGGUGAGAGAUUUCUGUGCUUUUGUUAUAGGACAAUUAAAACCGUUUCAAUACAACACACUGUGGAGUUUUCAUAUCUUUGCAACUUUUUCUUUGGGCAUUCGAGCAAUCGGGGCCCAGAGGUAACAAACACAAACAAUUUUAUUUAUUCAUUAAAUUUUUGUCAAAAACAAGAAUUUUCGUAACUGGAAAUUUUAAAAUAUUAAAAACUUUCAACAACGGAUCUCUUGGUUCUCGCAUCGAUGAAGAACGCAGCGAAAUGCGAUACGUAAUGUGAAUUGCAGAAUUCCGUGAAUCAUCGAAUCUUUGAACGCACAUUGCGCCCCUUGGUAUUCCAGGGGGCAUGCCUGUUUGAGCGUCAUUUCCUUCUCAAACAUUCUGUUUGGUAGUGAGUGAUACUCUUUGGAGUUAACUUGAAAUUGCUGGCCUUUUCAUUGGAUGUUUUUUUUCCAAAGAGAGGUUUCUCUGCGUGCUUGAGGUAUAAUGCAAGUACGGUCGUUUUAGGUUUUACCAACUGCGGCUAAUCUUUUUUAUACUGAGCGUAUUGGAACGUUAUCGAUAAGAAGAGAGCGUCUAGGCGAACAAUGUUCUUAAAGUUUGACCUCAAAUCACGUAGGAGUUACCCGCUG